GAUAGGGCAUUAUUUGUUUGCAAUUUUAUUAUUAAUUUCCCCUUUUGUUCGUAUCAAAUAUUGUGUUAAUUGUUGAUAUUUACUUAUAUUUGGUAUCUGGACUUAAUUCCAGGGAAUGGAGCAGAAAACUACAAAAAGCAGGGACUUUUUGAAGCAAAUUACUUCACAAGUGGGAGUCUUCUGCGAAGCUCCCUCAACGUGUCCCACAAGAGAUCAAACAAACGGCUUCCCUUUUUAGCUGAUGAAGAGAAGGCUGGUACAAGGAGUCCUAGGAACAUUAGGAAACAAGGAGUAAUUCGGCAGGCUUUUCUUUUGAGUUUGUUUGACUCUCAAUCUCGGCGGGGACCACGGGAUAAGAGCAUUUGGAGUCAUCAUUCCUUUUGGACUUUAAAAUGAGAAAGAAACGUACAAGGCUUGUAAAUUGGAAUUGGACUCUCAAUUCGUGCGGGGACCACGGGAUAAAGGAAAGCCUUGUGUCAUGUAUCCUUUUGGCUAUAUAAGAAAGGCUGAAGGGAGAGUUUUAGUUGAGCUUUUUAGCAUAGUUUAGUUUUGUUUCUUUCUUGGCUCUUUUGAUGGCCUGGACCUCAAUGAAAUUACUUGAAGAUUUUCUCAUGAGACGUGGCUAAGUUUGUCUAAUCAAGAACAACGGAGGACUUGGUUCUACUAAAUUUGUGAGAUCGAAUUAGUUUUUAUUUAUUUCCAUUAUUCACUGGUAUUUGUCUAUCUUCUGCUUUAUGUUCAUAUGGUUGUUUUAUUAUUCGAUUAUCCAGGGCCCGGAUUCUAGAUUAAUUCAAUAACCUGAAGCCAAUUAGGAUAGUUAAAUCCGUAAUUGUUUAAUUAUUCUAAACUGGUGGCAACUGGCAUGAUUGGGUUUGUGCCAGGGAGAUAGACAGGCUAACUUAAAGAGACCCUCGUAGCGUGUUGAUUGGUUAGAAUUAGGCUCUUCUAAUUAUUCAUGCAAUUAGAGAAUUGAACUUCUAUGGUCGUACCUAGGGUUAUUUCCUGAUUAGAGAAAUAGUCAACGGUCGUACCUUGGCUAUCGACAAAUUGAGGAAGAGUUGGUUGUUUAUCGCGUGUAUGACAACUAUAACUAAUUUAUCAGAUAGUAACUGGAAUAAUCCUUGCAUCUGUGAUCGAAUUAAGUGAACCAUCUCCGAAGUUGUCUCUUGGCUAGAGUUCAUCCAUUUUUAUUGUUAUUGUGAUAAUUAGUUAUUUGAGUUGUAGUUACUUUAUUUUUAUUUUAAUUUAUUCCAAGUAAUUUAGUUACUCUCAUUUUCAAAAACCCCCCAUAUCUGGAACUUGAGAAGAAAUUAAAUUAUCCCCAGUCCCUGUGGAUUCGACCCUGCUUACCGCUAUAUACAGAAUUUGUAUUUUAUUUGAGCAGGUAUUUAUUAUUGCACAGGUUCGGCACCUGUCAAUUUUUGGCGCCGUUGCCGGGGACUGGUGUCAGAUUAAUUUGUUUCUUUUUGAGUUCACCUUGUUUUUAUUUAUUUAUUUAUUUAUUUUAUUUAUUUUUCUCUUAUUUUUUUUUAUAUAUAUAGUUUAUGGCCUCUAACACUCCGUAUUUUGGUGAUAUAAUGGAUUUUGUUUCCGAGGAAGGCGAUGAGACUAGCUUUUUUGCUAAGUUCGCACAUGCAGAGGCCGUAAACUCUAUUAGAAAACGAAUGGCUGCUGCAACCUGUAAAAUUUGUUAUGCCAGGGAUCAUUCAACUGGUAUGUGCCCCGAAUAUCAAGAUAAUCUGAGUGUCCCACUCAAUAAUUAUGGAGAUUUUUCACCCUGGUCUCAAACGUGGUAUAACUCUAACCCAAACGGGUAUGAUCAAGGAUGGUGGGAUAACUCCAGUUAUGAUUAUACAACAGGGCCAAUGAAUUUUCAGCAGCCAAUGAGUUUUCAGCAGUAUGAGUCUCAAGAACAGUCAUCCAUGUCAGGUAUGUCUCUUGAAGAAAUGGUUGAAUUAAUAGCUACUAACAUAUAUCAAAUUCAACAGGGGGUACACCAACUUCAACAGGAGACACAAAGGAUGAAUAAAGGGAUGGAAGAAGCAAGGCGUGAACGGGCAUUUAAAACGAGCAAAUUGAUUUCUCCAGUUUAUGAAGAAUUGCCCUCACCGACUAUUAUCGACCAUGAGGAAGAUGAGAGUGCAGUUAUUCUGACAAAUGACAUGGUACUGCAAGAAUCUCAAGAAGAAGAAUCUAAAGAUGCAGUUGAAAAGAAAGUUGAAGAGCAAAAAUUGAGACCCCAACAUCAAAUGGUUCAAGUGAAUGAAUCCAGUGAACAAUCUCCAAAUGCGGUGACAUCUCCUCCACUCCUUAAUCAAUACUUUCCUGACUCCUAUUCUUUAACUCCUGUUACUGAAAUUAAUUUUAUUAUACCAGACGAUUUUGAAUUUCAUGCCAGGAAUAAGUUAAGAGUCAUGAUGGCAAAAUAUUUCGAACCAAUAAGUGCUCGUGAUGGAGGAGUGGGUGAAGAUUUAAGAUCAUCACUUGUUUGUUUGGCGCCAUCUACUAAUCCAUGGAAGACCGUAGCUCGGGUGGUCAAGAAUUACUCCAUUUACGAGGGCUAUCAGGAUUAUAUAGAAGAUGAAGCACUGAAACGAGCUACACGAUUUUAUCCUCCGUGAACAAGCAUAGCAAUGUCUAGCCAAAGACAUUAAAGAAAGGCGCUGCUUGGGAGGCAACCCAAGGCUCUUUGUUUUAGUUUUCUUAUGUUUUUGGAGUUUUUGUUAAGUGUUAGUUGCAUUUAGUGAUUUGUUGUUUGGUGGCAGGGAAUUAGCGAUUAGGCGUGCCCACGCCAAGUGGUCACGCCUGAGAAAAAGGAAUUUUCGCUCAGGUUCUGCGAACUCCAUAGUAGUUAGACGUGCCCACGCCAGAUGGUCACGCCUGACGGAGGAAAUUUUCGUUCAGGAUCUGCGGACUCUAUAGCAGUUAGACGUGCCCACGCCAGGUGGUCACGCCUGAGGGAAAGAAAUUCUCGUUCAGGAUCUGCGGACUCUAUAGCAGUUGAGCGUGCCCACGCCUUAGCCAGAGGUUCCUUGACUAAAAAAAAAAAAAAAAAAUUUUAAAACAUUUUCCGUUGUACACCUUCAGUUUUGAUUCUCACAAUUCGGAUUUUGAAAUUUGAAUGUGCAAAAAAAAAAAAAAAGCUAUUUUUUUUCCCUUCUUCUUUCUUUCUUUCUUCUUCUUUCUUUUUCUUUUCUUUCUUUCUUCUCCUCUGUUUUGCUCUGUCCGCCGCCCGUGCCCACCGCCAUCUCCAACUCCACCGCGCGCCACCCUCUUCCUCGACCAGACCGCGUGCCGCCGUUCCUCCUUGGCCACGACCACCACCACCUCGCGAGCACCAGCCGCGCGCCGUGCACACCACCAACUCCCUCCACUCGCGCGCUGCCAUCAGCCCUUCCGCCCUCCACCUUCGCACGGUACCACCAGCUCCCUCUCCAGCCAGCUCAUCACCAGCUCCAGCCGCGCCUCAUCCCACGGUCCACCGCCAGCUCGCGGCCGAGGCUUGCCGCGCCUCUCCCCGCCACAGCUCUUCUCCAGCUUUGACCACCACGCACAGAAGCUCCACUCACGCACGCCAACAGCCCGCCUCUCACGCACAGCUUGUCCAGCCACGCCAUCACCACCUGUCAAAAUUGACAGGUGGAGGUAUUGUAAUUUCUUCCCCGAUUAACAUAGAUUUCUGGAAUUUGUGUUUGGAUUUCUGGUUGGAUAGAAGAAGGUGUUGUUUUGGGCAAUUUCUAGGGUAAAAUUUUGGACGGAAUUGGGUUUAAUUGCUGCCAUACGUGGGGAUAUUUUACUGAUAUUUAUUGAGUUGCUGCUAUUUGAUUUAAAUCCUCCAUGUGUGUACACCAGUGGUACUGGUUGCAUUGUUACUUACAGUUUCUUGAUCCUUAGUGCUUAAAUUAUUUUUCGAAUCCUGAACGGUGGUUGCUGGAAUUGCCAAUUUCUGUGAUCAAUUGCUAAUUUUAGCAGGUUGAAUUGGGUAUUUAACUGUCCAAUUGGAGACAGUUGUUACGGUUUUGGGUCCAUUUGUGUUUAAAUUGUAUAAUUUGUGUCGAGUUGUGGGUAAUUUGCUGUGGCUGUUGGUUAAAUUAAGAGGUGCCUGUUACGCUUAAAUUUGCUUAUUGAAAUUAGUUGCCUCUGAUUGCCUUGUUUAGGAGCAUUUUAUCAUUUUGGUUUCCUUUACUAAGCUAUUUGGAGCACUUGUUGCAUGAUUGGACUGCCUUGAUUCUGAAUUUGACUACAUUUGGACCACAGGGGCUCAUUGAUUGCAUUUGUUAUUAGUGUUGAGGUAUUCGUAUAACCUGUGGGUGAUUGAAUUGUGCCUAUUGUUCAUGGGGUUGGUUUUAAACAAAAAAAAAAAUUUGUUAUUACUUUGAAAUUCCUGUUUCCAUUAUCUGUUGGCAAUUGUAGUCCCUUGUGAUUAGAGUGACAUCUAGAGAUCAUGGUAAGGCUAAGAUCCGCUUCUAGGUUUAAAAUACCUAGACACUCGCAGCCUCCUCCUACCCCAGGGGCUAACGACUGGGUCCAACUCCGAAUGCAAGUUGCAUAACAUGGUGCAGAAUUUGGUAGCACUCCGCCCGACCCACUCCUGUUUUGACAAUUUCAGGGAAGUACCGUUACCCUUCUCCUUCCUUUUGCUGUUAGUUUAUCACAUUGAGGGCAAUGUGUGAAUUAGGUGUGGGGGGAUCAGUUUGGGGUGCGAGUAUUUUUGUUUUUAGUUUCUAAAGGUCGUUCCUUUAUUUUUAGUUUGAUAUUUAUCUCCCUUUUCGUUUAUUUUCUUUUCUUUUUCUAGUGGUCAGUUCUUUUAUGACUACCAAGUUUUGAUGCUGGAUUGUUGCCUCUAAUUAUGCUAUUGCCAAGUUUUAUUAAAAAGGUAUCAAGUUGAUGUGGUUGAGUUCAGGAGUAUCUCUUUGGUGAAUAUCAAUAAUUGCUUAACUUUUCCUAUUUUUGGUUAACUUUUCUAAGCAUGGGGAAUGAUUGUUGGCAUUUUUCAUGUGAAUUGGUCCAUUUAUUAAUUUUAGUUCUCCAUGUUUGGAAAUUUGAGGCUGGCUGCUGUUAUUUUUUGUGCUGUUUUAGUUAUUGUGCUAUAUGGUUCUAAAUAAGAGCUGACUGUACUCCGCUAGUGAUUACUAUUGAGUAACCGGGGAUCUACACCUAAAGUGUCGAUUCUCGCGUCAAAAGGUAGUAGUUACUAUGAGUGCGUGGUCCCGUAACGAUUGGAGUUGAGUAACCGGGCUCCUCCAUCUGUGAAAUGUUGGAGUUCGCGUCAAAAGGCUCUAAUGGCUAUAGAUUAAGUCUUUUGUUAUUCAAAAAAAAAAACAAAAAAAUAAAAAACAAGAAAAUAAAAAAACAAAAAAAAACAAAAAGGAAAAAAAAGUGAAAUAAAGAUUGUGUUAGUGUGUGAAUAAGUCAGCUUGCCGGUUUGUGAUCUUAAUGUCGAGAUUUUGGUUAAUAGUUGGACCAUUUGCUGAUAAAUGUGAACAACCAUUCCUUUUUCUUAGAUUAGUUUGUUUUAAAUUGGAGAAGUUGGGGGUUGGGAAGCUAACUGGAGUAAUUUUCUUUGAUCCUGACCUGUGAUACUUGAUGUAAGUUUUUCUGGAUAUCUUGGCAAUACGGUAGUUGGAGCGAUAGUCAUUGUCAAAAUUUUGGUAUUCAAAUGCUAUCCUCAUGCUUGAGGGCAAGCAUGAUUCAGGUGUGGGGGGAAUUGAUAGGGCAUUAUUUGUUUGCAAUUUUAUUAUUAAUUUCCCCUUUUGUUCGUAUCAAAUAUUGUGUUAAUUGUUGAUAUUCACUUAUAUUUGGUAUCUGGACUUAAUUCCAGGGAAUGGAGCAGAAAACUACAAAAAGCAGGGACUUUUUGAAGCAAAUUACUUCACAAGUGGGAGUAUUCUGCGAAGCUCCCUCAACGUGUCCCACAAGAGAUCAAACAAACGGCUUCCCUUUUUAGCUGAUGAAGAGAAGGCUGGUACAAGGAGUCCUAGGAACAUUAGGAAACAAGGAGUAAUUCGGCAGGCUUUUCUUUUGAGUUUAUUUGACUCUCAAUCUCGGCGGGGACCACGGGAUAAGAGCAUUUGGAGUCAUCAUUCCUUUUGGACUUUAAAAUGAGAAAGAAACGUACAAGGCUUGUAAAUUGGAAUUGGACUCUCAAUUCGUGCGGGGACCACGGGAUAAAGGAAAGCCUUGUGUCAUGUAUCCUUUUGGCUAUAUAAGAAAGGCUGAAGGGAGAGUUUUAGGUCAGCUUUUAACAUAGUUUAGUUUUGUUUCUUUCUUGGCUCUUUUGAUGGCCUGGACCUCAAUGAAAUUACUUGAAGAUUUUCUCAUGAGACGUGGCUAAGUUUGUCUAAUCAAGAACAACGGAGGACUUGGUUCUACUAAAUUUGUGAGAUCGAAUUAGUUUUUAUUUAUUUCCAUUAUUCACUGGUAUUUGUCUAUCUUCUGCUUUAUGUUCAUAUGGUUGUUUUACUAUUCGAUUAUCCAGGGCCCGGAUUCUAGAUUAAUUCAAUAACCUGAAGCCAAUUAGGAUAGUUAAAUCCGUAAUUGUUUAAUUAUUCUAAACUGGUGGCAACUGGCAUGAUUAGGUUUGUGCCAGGGAGAUAGACAGGCUAACUUAAAGAGACCCUCGUAGCGUGUUGAUUGGUUAGAAUUAGGCUCUUCUAAUUAUUCAUGCAAUUAGGGAAUUGAACUUCUAUGGUCGUACCUAGGGUUAUUUCCUGAUUAGAGAAAUAGUCAACGGUCGUACCUUGGCU
RNAcentral lists this long non-coding RNA (6746 nucleotides) under Coffea arabica (coffee). Its description in RNAcentral is "long non-coding RNA (CARA_LNC004330)". Lineage: Eukaryota; Viridiplantae; Streptophyta; Magnoliopsida; Gentianales; Rubiaceae. The record is from RNAcentral.